UACAGAGGGUGCAAGCGUUAAUCGGAAUUACUGGGCGUAAAGCGCACGUAGGUGGCAGACAAAGUCUGAUGUGAAAUCCCUAGGCUUAACCUAGGAAUGGCGUUGGAAACUGGUUUGCUUGAGUCGGAUAGAGGGUCGUGGAAUUUCUGGUGUAGCGGUGAAAUGCGUAGAGAUCAGAAAGAACACCAGUGGCGAAGGCGACGGCCUGGGUCCAGACUGACACUGAGGUGCGAAAGCGUGGGGAGCAAACAGG
Molecule: ribosomal RNA, 253 nt
Filed under: uncultured bacterium
Lineage: Bacteria
Description: partial 16S ribosomal RNA
Rfam family: Bacterial small subunit ribosomal RNA
Source: RNAcentral